GCCUCAAAGUCCUAUCUCCCGGGAGACCUCUGUGGCCACUUAUGCUUCGCGGGGCCGAAGGCCCUUCGUGGGUCAACCAAUCACCCGGAGCCCAGCAACCCACGUGACGGGCUCGCGCAGGCGCCUCGCCCGCCGACCGGGAGCUGGCGGCCGCAAUUCCCGCCUGGUCUGCUCCGCAGCCGCGGAGCUCAGCCGCUUGUCCACGCCUGUCGGUCCAGAGGCCUUUUUCCUCUGACCGGCGCACAGGGAGGGGGUGCCGCUGGCCUGUGGCCCCUCUCCACGCCUGUUUCUCCAUCAGCCCAGUCGUGGAGCGCCGAGUCUGCUGCAAUUCUGGCCUCCUUCUUGCGACCGCGAACAGGCCCCUCUUCGGCGUGUGCAGAGCGCCUUUCUUCCAGCGCUUCUCAUUUCUCUGUAGUUCCGCAGAUCUGCGUUUUGGAGGCUCUGCUCAUCUUCAAGGGGCGCACUCAGGAAAACGUGAACAUGGCUGUGUGGCCCAGGAGAAUUAGAAGAAAGGGCCACAAUCUGCCAGUUCCACGGAGUCAGGGAAGAAUGACCAUGAUGGCUCCACUGGAAAUGAUUUCAAAUCGCUGCAAUAGGUAAGGUCAUUAUUAAUGCAUGCUCAUCUACUUCAUUCGUCUAGUUUGAUUCCCUUCCAACACUGCUUUGUACUCAGCACUGUAACUAAAAACUCUAAUUUAUAUGGAAUAAAGGCCCUCUACCAUCUAGACCUGACCUUUCU
Molecule: long non-coding RNA, 739 nt
Filed under: Sus scrofa (pig)
Lineage: Eukaryota; Metazoa; Chordata; Mammalia; Artiodactyla; Suidae
Description: lncRNA (ENSSSCG00025027451.1)
Source: RNAcentral